AGGAGGCAGCAGUGGGGAAUCUUCGGCAAUGGGCGCAAGCCUGACCGAGCCAUGCCGCGUGAGCGAUGAAGGCCUUAGGGUUGUAAAGCUCUUUCGCCAGGGAUGAUAAUGACAGUACCUGGUAAAGAAACCCCGGCUAACUCCGUGCCAGCAGCCGCGGUAAUACGGAGGGGGUUAGCGUUGUUCGGAAUUACUGGGCGUAAAGCGCACGUAGGCGGAUUGGAAAGUUAGAGGUGAAAUCCCAGGGCUCAACCCUGGAACUGCCUUUAAAACUCCCAGUCUUGAGUUCGAGAGAGGUGAGUGGAAUUCCGAGUGUAGAGGUGAAAUUCGUAGAUAUUCGGAGGAACACCAGUGGCGAAGGCGGCUCACUGGCUCGAUACUGACGCUGAGGUGCGAAAGUGUGGGGAGCAAACAGGAUUAGAUACCCGAGUAGUCC
Molecule: ribosomal RNA, 436 nt
Filed under: uncultured bacterium
Lineage: Bacteria
Description: bacterial SSU rRNA
Rfam family: Bacterial small subunit ribosomal RNA
Source: RNAcentral